GCGUUACAGCUAGAAUGGGAAACUGAGACAAGGAAAGGGAAAGGACUCAGCCCAGAUUCCCAAAGCAGAUACCCUGAUUCUUCCUGCAGUACGCUUCCCUGUCCUCUUCCUUUCCCUAGGGCAGAUAAACACCCAGAGACUUUGCAUCUUUGCCUUUCAAAGCUGGGACGCUAGGCUGGACAGCUCUGACCAAUCUGCCCCCUUCUUCUCCCUCCACCCAUUUCAAAGCAUUUCCAGCUAGAAACGACCUUAAAUGUCCCCUGCUUAUUAUCGACUCCAACGCCUUCGUUUUCAAAAGAGGUUCCUUUGGCUUCCCAUCAUGUCCAUGAGCCCCCAGAGCCUGGGUUUUCUUCUUUCCAGUUGUUGAACCACUUCACUUCAUGUCACACAAAAAGAACAAAUUUCCCUCCAACGAGAUGUGGCAUCUCCCCACCUUGGUUUCUCACCCACCCUGUACUUUACCGGACCAGCCAUCCCAUCCAGUCAGUCCACUUCUCCAUCAUUUGGCUUUGCUCACUGCAGACAUGGGAGCGCCCCCUGAUGGCAGGAUUGGCUACCUGUCCACACCCUUUCCAACAAGUCCAGAUUCACCAGGAAUGGGCAAGAAUCAGAAAUGACGACCAGCCUCUGCACCUACCCCACCCCCCAGAGGACAAGAUUCCAUGGGCAGCAAGAGUUCUCAGGCACAGCACAUUCUCAGACAGCUUUUCUUCUAGAAAGAAGUUGCCUUUGCUACUACUCCAAGCUCCCUCUUUCAUUCACUGCCUUGAACACAAAUGCACAUUGGUUCAGGACUAGAACUGGACCUUGGCAGAUGACUUGGGACAAGGUGGGCUGAGGGGAGAAACAGGAAAUAAUUGGACAAGUUACCGGGCCAUCGAAGCUGUGGCAAUGGCGAAGGGCAAACUUCACAAGCACAAAAUGGGCAUGGGGCCCAGCAGGGAGGCCUGGCUAGGCAGCAGUUUUUGUCUGAAAACCACGUGGGGGUUUGAGAGGGCAUCAAGCGUCACAAAGCAGAACAGUGGGGCGUGGCAGCCAAACCCCAGACUGGAUGUCAGCCCGCUGGAAGAGGCAGUCAAAGACCAAAGCGAGAGGAGACCCCCGAGGGCGCCGAAUCCAAGCCCUCAUUACAGGAAACUGAAGCAAGGACGGCCUAAGUGACUGGUCCAGAGCCAGCAUCUGAGGGGCUACCUGUCCAUCCUGGGCAAUCCUCAGUGACCACAGAUGUCACCCUGCAAGGCAAUGGAUGGAUGCCAUGUGAGUCUGGGAUUCCGGUGAUGGGGCAAGUGAAGAAGGGCCAGGGACAAGAGUACCCAUGGGAAGGGACCCUGGACUUUCUUCAUGUGGCACCCAGGCCCCAGAUGCUUGGCUUGGUUGGACUCCAGGAACAUCCUGCCUCCCCCAGGAUAAGCUCAUCACUUGAAAUUUCAUCAUGGCUCAGGCAGAUUGACUCAGCUUUCAUGCUUGCUACCUCCUCCGCGCCCUCAGGUGCCUCUCCUCUCCCAUUGGAGGGCUGGGGGGGGGAGAGGCGGGGAGCAAUGAACACCUCCCGCAGUCGCCCCUCAGAGAGGGCUCAGGAUUGGCCAGCUUGCUUCAUCCCCUCGGCUGCUCCCCUCGCUGGGGUUCUCAGCUUUUCUGUAGGUCUUCUCUCAUUAGAUUGAGAGCUACUUGACAGCGUGGCACACUGGAGGCACUUAAUAACGUUUAUUGACUAUUUGAUCCUCACAACAGCCCUGGGCGGUAGGUGCUAUUGUCGUCCCCAUUUUAUAGGUGUGGAAACUGAGGUUGCCGGAGGUUAAAUGACUUGUCCAGGGCUACACUAGUCAGUGCCGGGAAGCAGUACGUCCUCUUGACUCCAGGUCUAGCACUCGGCGCACUGCUGACACUCAGGGUCAGGUCUUCUCUUCCCGAUUACAUCCUAAAGAAAAACAAUUCCCACCUCGACACAUACAAACCCAUGCUUCCAGACUGGCCCCUGCAGCCACCAUCUCCCCAUCGUGAUGGAGGAGAGCCACACACUCACCACCACCACCUGGCAACACCCGGCACAAAUCCCUGUUGGCCACCUCCCGCCGAGAAGCUCAGCCCCCGCAGCCAGCCUCAGGGAAGUAAAGCCUGGGCACCCACUGUGCCAGCCACACAAGCAGCAUAGCAGCAACGCUCUGCAGACCAGUGGGUUGUUUCCAGCCAAGUGCUUACAUUAAAAGGAAAAACUCCUUGGAUGAUGGGUUGGACAUCCCCACCAACCGCCAACCAGCAACACCAAUGGGCCAAUAAGCCCAAGAGGAGCAGGAAUGGCGCUGUCCCCCUCUCCCCCGGACACCCCGGCCUGCAUCCCCACCAACUGCUGACUGGCUGCCACCAACUGACAGACAAGCACAAGUGUCUUCCACAAGACCAGCAUCAACGGAGCAGCGCUUUGGGGGGAGGAGGACACUAUCCUUACCAUCGCCAACACCAACUGCCAAUAUGGUCAUUGUUCCCAGAUCAACUUUCUUGCUCUCAGGACCGGCAGCCCCGCCCAUUGGUGAAUGGCCAUACCAUCCCCCCAGCCAUCAGCAGCCAUGGGCAGGGAAGCUCUAGUGGCCCAGGACUGGCAGUGCCUCCAUCCAGCCAUCACUGAGGAGAAAAGCUUCUGGCAGCAGAGAGCCCCAGGAGUGACAGUGUCUUCUACACCACCAAUGUGGCUUCCUGCCUGGUCCCCAAGCCAUGACUGAGUGGAGCAAUGCUUUGUAGAAGGGGCUAGGCAUCUCUCUCCCACAACAACUGACUAAUUAAGCUCAAGAGCCCCACCGUAACACACAGGUCAGCCCUUACAUCAUUAGAGAAGGCGUCUGCACCCCUGCCACCAGAUGCCAUUGAUGGACAGCUAAACCCAAGAUCCCCAGGACUGACAUUGCCCCGCCCCAGCCCUGCCCCUCUGACCAUCCUUGCCACCAACACCAACCACAAAUAAGCACCAGCUGCCAAUCAUCUGGUACUGCUAGGUGGGUAAGCCCAAGCCAAAGCAGGAGGCAUGGGUGGGGGGGUGACAGUGGAGAAAGCACUGGAU
Molecule: non-coding RNA, 3052 nt
Organism: Phascolarctos cinereus (koala)
Lineage: Eukaryota; Metazoa; Chordata; Mammalia; Diprotodontia; Phascolarctidae
Source: RefSeq, a predicted model, not a curated record